UACAGAGGAUGCAAGCGUUAUCCGGAAUGAUUGGGCGUAAAGCGUCUGUAGGUGGCUUUUUAAGUCCGCCGUCAAAUCCCAGGGCUCAACUCUGGACAGGCGGUGGAAACUACCAAGCUGGAGUACGGUAGGGGCAGAGGGAAUUUCCGGUGGAGCGGUGAAAUGCGUAGAGAUCGGAAAGAACGCCCGUGGCGAAAGCGAGGUCCUGGACGUCUACUGACGCUGAGACGCGAAAGCUAGGGGAGCGAACGGG
RNAcentral lists this ribosomal RNA (253 nucleotides) under uncultured bacterium. RNAcentral describes it as "partial 16S ribosomal RNA". It matches the Rfam family "Bacterial small subunit ribosomal RNA", at positions 524 to 776 of the family's 1533-position model. The record is from RNAcentral.